GGAUGAAGGUGGAAAGUCACGGAUGAUGCUGCGGAUGAAGGUGGAAAGUCACGGAUGAUGCUGCGGAUGAGGGUGGAAAGUCACGGAUGAUGCUGCGGAUGAGGGUGGAAAGUCACGGAUGAUGCUGCGGAUGAGGGUGGAAAGUCACGGAUGAUGCUGCGGAUGAGGGUGGAAAGUCACGGAUGAUGCUGUGGAUGAGGGUGGAAAGUCACGGAUGAUGCUGUGGAUGCUGUCAGCUGUCCUCUGGUUUUGCAG
This 255-nucleotide long non-coding RNA is filed under the name Homo sapiens (human). RNAcentral's name for it is "HSALNT0131962". Lineage: Eukaryota; Metazoa; Chordata; Mammalia; Primates; Hominidae. The record is from RNAcentral.